UACGGGGGGGGCAAGCGUUGUUCGGAAUUACUGGGCGUAAAGCGCGCGUAGGCGGCUCUUCAAGUCGAGUGUGAAAGCUCCAGGCUUAACCUGGGAAUUGCGCUCGAUACUGUUGAGCUAGAGUGUGGAAGGGGCUACUGGAAUUCCGUGUGUAGCGGUGAAAUGCGAAGAUAUACGGAGGAACACCAGCGGCGAAGGCGGGUAGCUGGGCCAACACUGACGCUAAAGUGCGAAAGCUAGGGGAGCAAACGGG
RNAcentral lists this ribosomal RNA (253 nucleotides) under uncultured bacterium. RNAcentral's name for it is "partial 16S ribosomal RNA". It matches the Rfam family "Bacterial small subunit ribosomal RNA", at positions 524 to 776 of the family's 1533-position model. The record is from RNAcentral.